Long non-coding RNA from Triticum dicoccoides, 596 nucleotides. RefSeq lists it as uncharacterized. The record is from RefSeq and is a predicted model, not a curated record. NCBI's taxonomy places the organism in Eukaryota, Viridiplantae, Streptophyta, Magnoliopsida, Poales, Poaceae. The transcript is spliced from 2 exons.
AUAGGUGAAGCUUGUGGGCUACAACCGGAGUACAUGGACGAGUAGCUGCUGUGGACGGAGGGCGGGGACGUGGGCAAGGGCUUCCGCAUGGUGAACAACAUCUACCUCAACUUCAACGCGCUCCACGGCCACAAGGACCACGGCGGCGUCCACGAUGGCACCGAGGUCGAGCUCUGGGAGUAGUGCAAGGGCGACAACCAGGCCUGGCGACAACCAGCGCUGGAAGAUCGUCCCAUGGUAGAGUGUGCCUUCUUCAUGCCGUGUCCAUUGUUCGUGUUCAAGUCGAGAGAAUAAACUAGGACCGAAUCACUGAAAAGACGAUCUCAGUCAGUGUGCCGCUUGAUCGAGACCGGAUCGCCUCUUUGUCUGAGGCAAAAAUUCAGGAUGUUGAUGAGCUGCAGGGCACUCUAGCAAGUUGUCAUUUGAGUGCCGUCUGGAUCCCUGCCUUGAACCAUGCGCACGUGUCUUCUCCCGUGUGUCUAUGAGAUUAUCCUUUUCCUUCCACCCGUCACGAGUGUGUAUGUGUGUGUGUGUUUGUCGUAAACCAUGGUUUAUUUACUUAUAUACUGUCCGUGUCAAGAAUUGAUCUUGGCCAA